This 451-nucleotide long non-coding RNA is filed under the name Monodelphis domestica (gray short-tailed opossum). RNAcentral's name for it is "lncRNA (ENSMODG00000051237.1)". Lineage: Eukaryota; Metazoa; Chordata; Mammalia; Didelphimorphia; Didelphidae. The record is from RNAcentral.
CUUGCUCUGUCCACAGGAAGUGAGCGAAUUCCAGAGGCUGUUCCCUACCUCACUUCCUGUGCCUCACACGUGCCAAUGGUGGCUCAAGCUUGACUUAGGACAGCCCAGGGGAGAAUUUCUGUGGCCAGAGAAGUGGACUGAGGUGCCAGAGCCUGGGAGGCAGACUUUUCUGAAGCUGGAACUCUUGAAAACAACACAGAGGAGAGAUGGAGAAAGAUAAUAGCCCUGUCAUUGAAGGUGAGUCCCUGCAGGGACAAGUUCUGGUGGAUUAGGCCCAAAUCCUAUCCAAGCCAAGAGUCCUAAGAGUCCAUUCUGCCUUAGCUGAACUCUGGAGGAUGGGCUUCAUUCAUGUUUGUGGAAUGGACUGGAUGAACUGAAAAGAGACUGAAUAGUGGCAGAGAUCAUAAGUUGGAGGGACCACUGCCAACCCCCCAAACAGAGGCAACUUUUC